GGUUAAGCGACUAAGCGUACACGGUGGAUGCCCUGGCAGUCAGAGGCGAUGAAGGGCGUGCUAAUCUGCGAUAAGCGCCGGUAAGGUGAUAUGAACCGUUAUAACCGGCGAUACCCGAAUGGGGAAACCCAGUGUGACUCGUCACACUAUCAUUAACUGAAUCCAUAGGUUAAUGAGGCGAACCGGGGGAACUGAAACAUCUAAGUACCCCGAGGAAAAGAAAUCAACCGAGAUUCCCCCAGUAGCGGCGAGCGAACGGGGAGGAGCCCAGAGCCUGAAUCAGCAUGUGUGUUAGUGGAAGCGUCUGGAAAGGCGCGCGAUACAGGGUGACAGCCCCGUACACAAAAGCGCAUGUGCUGUGAGCUCGAUGAGUAGGGCGGGACACGUGGUAUCCUGUCUGAAUAUGGGGGGACCAUCCUCCAAGGCUAAAUACUCCUGACUGACCGAUAGUGAACCAGUACCGUGAGGGAAAGGCGAAAAGAACCCCGGCGAGGGGAGUGAAAAAGAACCUGAAACCGUGUACGUACAAGCAGUGGGAGCACCCUUCGGGGUGUGACUGCGUACCUUUUGUAUAAUGGGUCAGCGACUUAUAUUCUGUAGCAAGGUUAACCGUAUAGGGGAGCCGGAGGGAAACCGAGUCUUAAUUGGGCGUUAAGUUGCAGGGUAUAGACCCGAAACCCGGUGAUCUAGCCAUGGGCAGGUUGAAGGUUGGGUAACACUAACUGGAGGACCGAACCGACUAAUGUUGAAAAAUUAGCGGAUGACCUGUGGCUGGGGGUGAAAGGCCAAUCAAACCGGGAGAUAGCUGGUUCUCCCCGAAAGCUAUUUAGGUAGCGCCUCGUGAAUUCAUCUCCGGGGGUAGAGCACUGUUUCGGCUAGGGGGCCAUCCCGGCUUACCAACCCGAUGCAAACUGCGAAUACCGGAGAAUGUUAUCACGGGAGACACACGGCGGGUGCUAACGUCCGUCGUGAAGAGGGAAACAACCCAGACCGCCAGCUAAGGUCCCAAAGUCAUGGUUAAGUGGGAAACGAUGUGGGAAGGCCCAGACAGCCAGGAUGUUGGCUUAGAAGCAGCCAUCAUUUAAAGAAAGCGUAAUAGCUCACUGGUCGAGUCGGCCUGCGCGGAA
RNAcentral lists this ribosomal RNA (1127 nucleotides) under Salmonella enterica subsp. enterica. RNAcentral's name for it is "partial 23S ribosomal RNA". It matches the Rfam family "Bacterial large subunit ribosomal RNA", at positions 1 to 1168 of the family's 2925-position model. The record is from RNAcentral. Lineage: Bacteria; Pseudomonadati; Pseudomonadota; Gammaproteobacteria; Enterobacterales; Enterobacteriaceae.